GGUGUAUUGAGUGUAGCUGAGGCAGAUAUUGUUACAUGUAACUACUCAAAAACUUUAACUGAUAAGCUGUGGGAGAAGGUGGUGGCAGGAGUAGGGGAUGCAGGGAAGAAAUGGCAGAAUGUGGCGAAAUGCCUGUAACUUGGUCUGAGUGACUAAGAGCAGUUUCUGAGUUCACAAGGCAGCAGAUGGAUAGCCCCUGUCCAAGUGCUACUUGGAGAGAUAAAAAAUGCAGGAAGUAAAAAAAAAAAGGGGGAGUUAAGAGAAAACCAGGAAAUUGAUCAAUUUGAAAUUGAAAAAUAGGUUACUGCAGUUAACAAAUUUAAUUCCAUUCUUUAAACACUUAAAUUAUUCUUUAGCUUCAGAACCAUCAAUACACCUAGUAUAUACCUCUGUCACUGAUUUUGCAUUAAUAAUUAAGUGAUAUCAAUAUUUCCACAGCACCAAGGCAAUACACUCAAAAACUUUUUAAUUGAAGCAGUUCCAAUUGUGAUUUACAGGUCCUCAUGCUUGGCUUGACUGGUGGAUGUGAUAGAUGUUUAGGUAAAAUUUUGACAUAAUUGCAUGCAAGAAAUCUUUAGCCAGGUCUCACCCAGACUUGGUGCCGUGGUUGUUGAAGUAUACUGGUAUCAGAAUCACCAGUAUCUCUUUUUUUAAUUUCUAUUUCAUUGUUAUAGGUCUGCACAUGCUGCAUUUGAGUGGUCCAUCAUUACCCAGUUUGCUGAGACAGCAAAAUAAAGUGGUGUAAAAAACAAAGGGAGUAUACCACCUGUCUUGGGUAUUAGAAAAAACUGGUUCUGCAGAUUGACUUUUUCUGACAGUGAAUGGCUGAAAUGUCAUGAAAUUCUGUUGAUGUUUUACAGAACCAGCUUGGGCACUAUUCACAUUGCAAUCUGUUAGGAUCGAGCAUCUCAGAUUUGUGCCGGAAGAAAACAAAGACAUGGGUGUCAGCAUCUGACCAUUGCACUUGGUGGUGUCUACUUGAGGAGCUCUGUAGUGGAUUUAGUUUGUGCCAAGCUAUGCCAGAAAAAAAAAGCAUCCCCAAUCAAACCAUAAAAAGUGCCCAAAGCCCUUAUCACAAGACAAAAAGAAGUGUAAUAUUAUUUAUUGUUAUUUAGAGUUUGAAGUUAAGUGAACAAAAAUAUUCUCAUAUUGUUUGCCUGCAGAUUUGAGUAAUAAACCACUUACAUUCAAAUAGGUUUGGUUUGGAAUAGAUUAACAAAUGUUUCCCUUGGGUUCAGAACUCAUCUGAAAUAAGAAUGUAAUCUAGAUGUUGAAUUCAUAUGCCUUACCUUUUUCUUUCCUCUCUCUAAUGAAGAAAGUUUUUUAUAAUAUAUUUUGGGUUUUUUCCCCAGUGGCAAAAAAGUGGAUG
This 1369-nucleotide long non-coding RNA is filed under the name Camarhynchus parvulus. Its description in RNAcentral is "lncRNA (ENSCPVG00000016780.1)". The record is from RNAcentral. Lineage: Eukaryota; Metazoa; Chordata; Aves; Passeriformes; Thraupidae.